GAUGAACGCUGGCGGCGUGCUUAACACAUGCAAGUCGAACGGAAAGGCCCAAGCUUGCUUGGGUACUCGAGUGGCGAACGGGUGAGUAACACGUGGGUGAUCUGCCCUGCACUUCGGGAUAAGCCUGGGAAACUGGGUCUAAUACCGGAUAGGACCACUUCUUGGAUGUUGUGGUGGAAAGUUUUUUCGGUGUGGGAUGAGCUCGCGGCCUAUCAGCUUGUUGGUGGGGUAAUGGCCUACCAAGGCGUCGGCGGGUAGCCGGCCUGAGAGGGUGUACGGCCACAUUGGGACUGAGGGAAGGCCCAGGCUCCGAAGGGAGGCAGAAGGGGGGAAGAUUGAACAAUGGGCGCAAGCCGGGUGCAGAGGCGCCGCGUGGGGGAUGACGGCCUUCGGGUUGAAAAAACCUUUCGCUAGGGACGAAGCGUUUUGUGACGGUACCUGGAGAAGAAGCACCGGCUAACUACGUG
Molecule: ribosomal RNA, 467 nt
Filed under: uncultured bacterium
Lineage: Bacteria
Description: partial 16S ribosomal RNA
Rfam family: Bacterial small subunit ribosomal RNA
Source: RNAcentral